This is a long non-coding RNA of Wyeomyia smithii (pitcher-plant mosquito), 570 nucleotides long. RefSeq lists it as uncharacterized. The record is from RefSeq and is a predicted model, not a curated record. NCBI's taxonomy places the organism in Eukaryota, Metazoa, Arthropoda, Insecta, Diptera, Culicidae. The transcript is spliced from 2 exons.
ACCUGUCAAAAAGUUGUUUACACUUUUUUUAUUCAUGUUGUCCAAUCCUGUCUAAUCCAUCUUACCGAAUUGAUUACAAAAGUUUUCUCGUCAUUCUUUUCAAGGAUUUAAAAAUUUGAAUAAGUUCUUCUGUACUUAACGGUUUGAAAUAAAAAUGAAGAUCUUGACUCCAGUGGAAGUGGAGGCGGCAAGCAGGACAAGCAUUAUCGAAUCAACCGACCAGUCAUCAUUCAAAGCCCAUCGGCUGUCGGAAUCCAAAACUAGAACGAUUAGAGGGAUGUCUUGAUUUAGUUGUUUGUUAAACUAUUGACUGAAAAGGAGGGGACAUUUUUUCGAGAAGAUCGGAUGCACAGGAGCGUUGAAAUUCAACAAAUGUCUUUAGAACUGCGGAAUUCAUCUGGCCAUAUUAUUCAUAGUAACUAAACAAGCAAGUUACUUACAGGAACAUUUGAGCGUUUCAUAUUUUUGAUAAGAUUAGUUUUAUUGAUAAGGAUACUUUUGAAUGAUUUUCCAAACUGGUUUGUUUUUUUUUCCUGCGAAUAAACAGAAUGCGUUUUUUUUUUCAUAUAA